This 880-nucleotide ribosomal RNA is filed under the name Peroplatypus sp. PlPer01. RNAcentral describes it as "partial 28S large subunit ribosomal RNA". The stretch from base 243 to 880 matches the Rfam family "Eukaryotic large subunit ribosomal RNA", at positions 1 to 911 of the family's 3401-position model. The record is from RNAcentral. Lineage: Eukaryota; Metazoa; Arthropoda; Insecta; Coleoptera; Curculionidae.
GUAACCUGAGAACCCGAAAAGUCGAAGGAAGAAAUUCAUUCGCGUUUCAUUUCAUUGACAAUCUAGUUGAUGUUUAGACAGUAUGUGUACUUGAAUACAUCCUUGUGGUGUAUCCUUGAUAUAUAUGUUGCUACAUAACUUUUUUCUAGUCUGAUGGUGAACGCGUGCAUUUUUCUUCUGGUAGGACGUUGCGAUCCGUUAGGAUAAUUAUCGAUCUAUGAUUUAUGGUUUAGUUCAAUGAUACAUAUAUUUUAUGUUAAUAUUAUUGAAACUGUAGAAUCUGAUCGAUUGACCUGACGGUAAUUUAAUGGUUAAAAGCCGCUAUGUAAUUAUUAGCGUUAGAGGUUGAACAAGUAUAUAAAUUGUGUAAAGGCAAUAUUAUUAUUCGUAGUAAUAUUGUUCUCGGUAAUUGGUAUUUAUAUCAAUUCCGGGCCAGUUAAAUACUGUUUAUUGUUUAACAUAUCUCUAACAGACUUUAUUAUUUUUAAAUAAAACCAAUCAGCAACGCUAUAGCUUUGGGUAAUUUCAGGACCCGUCUUGAAACACGGACCAAGGAGUCUAGCAUGUACGCAAGCCAUUGGGAUAAUAAACCUACAGGCAUAAUGAAAGUAAAAAUUAAUAUUUCAUAUUUUUAUUAAUGUGAAAUAAAGGGAAGAUGYAUAUUUUCUAUAAUAUAUUUAUUUAUUUUAUAGAAAUGACUUAUUUCGCAUUCCCGGGGCGUUUAAAUUCUAUUGAUUGUCCGCAAUUGAUGAGAUUAAGCGCACCAAGAGUGUACACGCUGGGACCCGAAAGAUGGUGAACUAUGCCUGGUCAGGACGAAGUCAGGGGAAACCCUGAUGGAGUCCGUAGCGAUUCUGACGUGCAAAUCGAUCGUCGGAAC